This is a non-coding RNA of Struthio camelus australis, 3622 nucleotides long. The record is from RefSeq and is a predicted model, not a curated record. NCBI's taxonomy places the organism in Eukaryota, Metazoa, Chordata, Aves, Struthioniformes, Struthionidae.
UGUGCGGCAAGCCUCUGAGCGCGCCUCUGGGCGCUCGCUGCGUGUGUCUUGCUGAGGCUUGUUUUGGCUGUGCGGUUAAGGGAGCGUUGUUCAUCCUGGGUGUGUUAGGGGAUUUGUCUUAUAACGAGAAGCUUUCCUUAAAGUUUGCCUUUAGCAGUAGCGUCUGGAACAGAGGCUGUCGCGGGGUGGAGGUUGGGAUGAGCUCUGUCAGUUAUGGGAGCGCUUCCCCUUUUGCAUGACGCUUCUGUGGGUGGAAUUUGGAUGCUUCAAGUGAAGCCUAUAACAGAGAAGUAGAGCAACAUAACGAGGUGGUCUUGUCUCUGUAGGUGGGUGAUGCCGAGCACAGCCAUGAAGAAAAAGGUGCUGCUGAUGGGUAAAAGUGGGUCUGGGAAGACCAGCAUGAGGUCCAUUAUCUUUGCAAACUACAUUGCCAGGGACACACGGCGCCUGGGUGCCACAAUUGAUGUGGAGCACUCCCAUGUUAGAUUCCUAGGAAACCUGGUGUUAAACCUGUGGGACUGUGGAGGGCAGGAUACCUUCAUGGAGAACUACUUCACCAGUCAGCGAGACAACAUAUUCCGCAAUGUAGAAGUCCUCAUCUAUGUCUUCGAUGUAGAGAGCCGUGAACUGGAAAAGGACAUGCACUACUACCAGUCCUGCUUGGAGGCAAUUCUUCAGAACUCUCCUGAUGCAAAGAUCUUCUGUCUAGUGCACAAGAUGGACUUGGUGCAGGAGGAUCAGCGGGAUUUGAUUUUUAAAGAGCGGGAGGAGGACUUAAGGCGCCUUUCUCGCCCCUUGGAAUGCGCUUGUUUUAGAACGUCCAUCUGGGAUGAAACACUUUACAAGGCUUGGUCCAGUAUAGUCUAUCAGCUGAUCCCCAAUGUCCAGCAGCUGGAAAUGAACUUGAGGAACUUUGCUCAGAUCAUCGAGGCAGAUGAAGUGCUUCUGUUUGAGCGAGCCACUUUCCUGGUCAUUUCUCACUAUCAGUGCAAAGAACAGCGGGAUAUCCACAGAUUUGAGAAAAUCAGCAACAUUAUUAAACAAUUCAAAUUGAGUUGCAGUAAGCUGGCUGCUUCUUUCCAGAGCAUGGAAGUCAGGAACUCUAACUUUGCUGCUUUCAUUGACAUCUUUACAUCGAAUACUUAUGUGAUGGUGGUUAUGUCAGACCCUUCAAUACCAUCUGCAGCUACACUGAUCAACAUCCGCAAUGCCAGAAAACACUUUGAGAAGCUGGAAAGAGUGGAUGGACCAAAGCACAGUCUGCUCAUGCGCUGAACAUUGGCCAAGGCACAUGGUCUUUGGGGGGAGAAAAAAAUGAAUUGGAACUACAUUUUCUUUUUUAGGAGAAUCUAACAAUGUGGAUGUCUUUGUGGGCUUUGAAAUGAGUGUGCUGCUUACCACCGCAAUCUUUAUUUUUUCUCCUUUUAACGUUGGACACUAGUCGCUCAGAUAAUGUCUGGAUACACUGCGGACCUUCAGAAGAGACUUCCUGGCAUAUAUGGGAUUGGGAAGAAGCAAGGACAGGUGAUGUGCACAUGGUCUCAUACUUCCGGUUGUCACAGUAGCACAUGGCAGAGCCUUUUUGAGUGUUCUGCUCCCAGGUGAUCAUACAAAUCACAGGGAUGGAAUAUUUACUAUUUUAUCGGUAGGUUGCUAGAACACAUUUAUAAAUUUCUCCUUAUCUUCAGUCAUGAAAAUAAAUUUUUGCUACCAGGGAUUUUGGAUCCUAGAGCUUUGGAAAGUGGGCUUUCUUUCUCCUAAAAUCUAGGGCAGCUUUGGCAAGCAGAUGUAAAAUGGCUACAUUUCUCCUUACAUACUACUUGGUGGGGGGGUUGACUGAAAGCCAUUGCAGACUUUCAUUUGAGAGCUCUUCAUGUUGAGGCAAAAUUCACUCAGUGGGUCAAUCAGUCAGGAUAACAUUGGUCUCGUUACAUCACUUUGUCAAAGUGAUGAAAAGGUCAGAGUGAAUAGAAGGAGCCAAUGGCCCUUAUUUCCCAGGCAGUGAGAGACAGUCUUGGCAUGCCAGGUCUUCAUCCUGGUGAGCCAGGAGAUGCUGACGUGGGCAAGUAGGAGUACUAGAAUGUGAUUGUUAUGGGUUGUGUGUGCAUGAGCUAUAUUAGCUAUGUUUGCGAAGAGCCAGUUGGACAGUGUCUGACAGCAAUAUGACUUGACAUUACCGUCUAUUUUUAGUGAAAUUUUUGUGUGCAUUUCUAUUAAACAUAGGAGCAACAAAAGCACUGUGAGUUAGGGGAAUCUCUCUGACUUGGUGGAUGGGAGUUGAUGCUUGUCAAAGCAUCUUUUUCCUUUUUUUUUUUCUUGCUGCAUCAAAUUACUAUAUACAUAUAAAAAAAAAAAAAGUGUGGUGAAUCUGAACCUGAGCCUGGCUCUCCACUUUGUAUUCUCUGAAUCAUGCCUUUCUCCUGUAUCCGUGCCUACACACAUACUGGGGGAAAAAAAUCUGAAAGGGUGAGUCUUAUGCGAAAACCGAAAGCUAAAGUGCACAUCUUGGCUGGAGAGCUGAAGAUGGGUUAUCCACAAACUCUUUCAUUAAUUCUGAAUCGUUACAAUAUUAAACACCCAUGUCUUGCACCGCCUACUCAGCAGAUGUAUUUGUAAUAUGUAAGGCGAGGUAUAUUUUCAAUGAGAAUCAUCAAGUCGGCAUCCCUGUGGGAGUGGAACUCUGCUGCCAAGAUUCUUAUUAAAAAUUCAAAUGUCUGAGUUGCUGGAGAACUUGUGAAUGGACUAGAGAUGCCGAAGUCUUCAGUGCUGAUGCUCCCCUGCUGCUUUGACGAGGUCAGUCCCUGCUUUCACUCCAGUCAAUAGAAGCAUUAUGGUUUUUUGCACCCAAACCCUGCCCUCUGUGCUGCUCAGCAAAGCAGGAGGAUGAAUAGCUUUUGCGCAGAUGCAUACGUUGUCGGGAGUCUCUGGAACUUCAACUUCAGAAGCCUCCAAGCAACUCCCGGGAAGGACUCCGCUCGCCGAAGGCGGGCAGGCCGCUGUCAAGAUUGCAGGAAAGGGGAAGACUGCUUAGGGCUGCAGUUCCAGUGCAGGCUGAAACACCUUCUGUUGAGAGCGCUCCUUCAUAGGUAGAGAGCUGCUGGUGAAAACGAGAUGGAGGAAGGGGGAGUGGGAAAGUCACUGCUGUUAUUUCCAUGGUUACAAAAACUAGUGGGGUUUAUCUCUUGCUCUCCACAGAGAGCAGUCUGCGAGUUGCCAUUCAGAUUCCGUAGAGGAUGAAUUUUUUAGCAUAUGAAGUGAAAAUAAAAAGAAAAAAAGCAGAGUGGGAGAAGCAAGUAGCAAACUGGUGCCAAGGAAGAGCAGUCUCAUAGCUGGUAGAUGGGAGUGAAACCCAGUUUGCAGGGAUGCUGGCUUGCUGAAGCCUUCCCAAGGCCAGUGGUACAAUGAUGGUAGCUGAGGUACUGCUAUUUUAUCUUACUGCAAAUCUGUUUUCCUAAAGCGUGUAUAUUUUGAGGGUUCUGGAAAAUAACCUUUUGCUCUCUGGCAGAGAUGCAACUUGUGCUGCUUUGUGUACACAUCCUCUAACACCGCUGUCAAGCGAGUGUCAACAGUGUUGAUGAAAAUAAGCUGAUGGUUUUAUUUCAAGACAACUCACUUAACUCAC